Schistosoma margrebowiei is the source of this 43-nucleotide non-coding RNA. NCBI's taxonomy places the organism in Eukaryota, Metazoa, Platyhelminthes, Trematoda, Strigeidida, Schistosomatidae. The record is from Rfam.
CUGAUGCUGAGGAGUCCCAUACUAGGACGAAACGGCCGUCCAG